RNA transcript from Ipomoea nil (Japanese morning glory), 2257 nucleotides. It is a transcript of the gene named serine/arginine-rich-splicing factor SR34-like, with no coding region annotated. The record is from RefSeq and is a predicted model, not a curated record. The transcript is spliced from 14 exons. NCBI's taxonomy places the organism in Eukaryota, Viridiplantae, Streptophyta, Magnoliopsida, Solanales, Convolvulaceae.
AGGCUACCGAUUACCCAUUGUGGCCUUCUGAGUUCCCAAUUUUUACCUUUUCAGACCUUAAAACCCUAGUCUUCGACUCUCGCUUUGUCAGUGACUCUGCGCUCCUUGCUCAUUCAUCGGUCUCUAAAGGAUAAAUAUGAGUCGCUCUAGCAGGACUCUCUAUGUUGGUAAUCUUCCUGGAGAUAUUCGUGAGCGGGAAGUUGAGGAUUUGUUUUACAAGUAUGGACCAAUUGCACAUAUUGAUUUGAAACUUCCUCCAAGACCUCCUGGUUAUGCUUUUGUUGAGUUUAAAGAUGCUCAUGAUGCUGAUGAUGCUAUUCGUGGUCGUGAUGGCUAUGAUUUUGAUGGGCAUCGGUUGCGGGUUGAGCUGGCCCAUGGUGGUCGUGGUCACUCACUCUCUAAUGAUCGCCACAGUAGCCACAGCAGCAGUGGUCGAGGUCCUCGAGGAGGAGUGUCAAGGCGUUCUGACUAUCGAGUGUUAGUCACUGGAUUGCCCAGUUCUGCUUCAUGGCAAGAUCUUAAGGAUCACAUGCGUCGAGCUGGGGAUGUUUGUUUCUCCCAAGUUUUUCGUGAGGGGAGUGGGAUGUCUGGGAUAGUGGACUACACCAACUAUGAUGAUAUGAAGCAUGCUAUAAAAAAACUUGAUGAGUCUGAAUUUCGGAAUGCAUUUGGACGUGCAGUAAUAUAUGUUAAGGAAUACAAUUCAGGUCGCUCAAGAAGCCGAAGCCGCAGUCGCAGCCGGAGUCGUUCUUAUUCAGGAGGAAAGAAUGGCAGCCGUAGUCGUAAUCGAAGCCGAAGUUAUAGUCGUAGCAGGAGCAGAAGCAAAUCUCCUAAAGCCAAAUCUUCUCGACGUUCAAGAUCUCGUUCAAAGUCUCCAUCACGAUCCCCUUCUAGGUCAAAAGGACGCUCUAUGUCAAGCUAUAUGAAUCUAGCACUCUUCACACUGUAUAUAUAAUAUAUAUAUACAUAUACACACACACACACACUUGUGGCAUUCUAGACUUCCCUACUUCAUGUGAUGUUCUGUUUCAUCAGCAUUAACUUGUGGUCAUAAAUUGGAGAAUGAAACUUCCUUUUUGGUGCUUCAUGAGAGAAUAGUCUUAAAGGAAAAGGGGAACUAGACCUGAAAAGGGUAAGAGAACCAAAAAGUUAUGUUUUUGUUUCUGGUGCGAAAACCUCAUAUGUUUCUCAAGGAAAUCCUCAUUGUAUUUUUCUCUUUGUAAAUAUGAAGUCACUGUUUUUUUUAGAUCGGACUAUCUGCAGCAAUUUGUGGACUGCGUAUUAGGAACUUGAGUGGAUAUGGCUCAAUUGCCUACAACACUUUUGGUUGUUGAGGUAUGGCGUUCUCUGAAUGGCAGAUUUGGAAUCUUUAAUGAUGUCUCUCUGCUCUAAUGAGCAUCACCAUGGGUGCUAGAUUAUGAACAAAGAAGACAUGGAUUCUGAUGAUGAAGCUGGAUUUGGAACUGCUAAUUGAAAUUGGGAAUCACCAUCUAUUUGCAGCAGUAUAUUUUUAUUAGCUCCUAUGCUGCUAGUAUAAUAAGGAACAUAUAUCUGAUUAUCUGAUAGCUUUUAUUCUUUUGGUAUCUCAAGCAUUGGUGUUUUGUGGGGCAUCUAUAAUCUUGGCUAAGAAGUCUUUAAGUAGGUAACUUAUGUAGGUGAAUAAAUAUCAUAUACUGCAGUCCUUACACUGUUAAAUAUUUUGAUAAUUUGAUGUGGAAGUGGAAUCAAAGGUGUUGGGUGAAAGCUCUAAUGCAGAUCAUGUUGGGACUUAAAUUGGGUUCUUUCUGGAAAUUUUGCAGAUCUUUAUCAAGAUCCAGGUCCCCAGUGCCUUCUCGUAAGAAAGAAGUCAGUGAAAGCCCAAAGAAACGGAGUUCUAGCCCAAAGAAAAGGAGUUCUAGCCCAAAGAAACGGAGUUCUAGCCGCAGCCGCAGCCGCAGCAGGAGUUUAUCCAGGUAAGCUUGGGCGAUGACUGAUCAUUUACACCUGAAGCUGUGAAUGUGUGCCGCCACCCGAUAUCUUCUGUGUUACAUUUCACAGAUCAAGCAGAGUGAAUUCUCUAUAUUGCCUAAACCUUUUUGAGCUUGUUGGACAAUUUAUGGCAUCGGACCAGGUUAUACUUUGCUAUGUAUUUUUCUUAAGAAUUGCUAAAUACUAAUUCUUGGAGCUGUAUUAUUGGUUUAGGUAUUGUAUUUCUACAUAAUUGGUUGUUUGGAUGAUGACUAGUUUAUUAAUAACUCAAAAAAAAUGGUUUUUCUAA